RNAcentral lists this ribosomal RNA (111 nucleotides) under Pteropus alecto (black flying fox). The record is from RNAcentral. Lineage: Eukaryota; Metazoa; Chordata; Mammalia; Chiroptera; Pteropodidae.
GUCUACAGCCAUGCCGCCCUGAAUAAGCCUGGUGUCUGAUCUCGGAAGCUAAGCAAGGUCGGAUUAGUACUUGGAUGGGAGACCACCUAGGAAGACCAGGUGCUGUAGGCA